UCAAACUAUAGUCAAACACUGUCAGUUAAAUAAAUUCAACAAAAAUGGCAUCAACACUAAAUACCUAAAUAAAAAAAUAAUAUUUAUUAAAAAUUUCAACAAUGUCUACUUAGAACACCUCUAUAAACCCACUAAUGCAUUAACCCAUCAUUAAAUGCUGAAAACAUAAUGCAGUUCAAUCAGCCAAUAUAUAAUGGGCCCGCAAAUGGCUACCACGGUACUUGUCAAAUACCAUUUCGAUAUACCGACAUUAAAGGCGAAGGUGAUGUCACAUCUGUAAUGUUUCCUGAUGGCACUGUGCAAUUUUAUUUUGUUCCUACAUUGAGACGAGAGAAAUUCGUUCCAUAUUCGAAUGCCCAUAAUCCAAACAUAUACCCAACCUUGAGACCAGUCGGCAACGAGCUGUGGUAUAUAAGGAGCAUCCCCUACCCCGUUCUGGAUAAUCAGUUUCUGGGGCAAAACAUAAAUGUUGGCGAUCCAUUUUUAAGGUCAUACUUCUUGUCUAAGAGUAACCUAGCGCCUCCUGUUGAAUUUUGUCAGAAGUUUCACAACGACAACAGUUCCUCGACGUCAGAUAUACAUUAUUUUUAUCCAAGUCUGCGCAGCUUUUGUAAGGCAACCAAACGAGGUGUUUCAAUUCAAGUGGACGGACCGCGGAAAGUUACAACCUCCUGUCAAUCAGAGCAGCGCUGUUCUUGCAACGGUGAUGCCAAACGACACAAAGAGAAGAUACUCAACAUAAACACCAGCAGCGCUAUGUCAAUAGACAGCGAAAACUCCUAUAGAACCAAGAGUAAACGUACGUACAAUAAAAAAAGUAAACGAAAGCCGAAGACGCGCUGUCAUUGUAAAACGAGGAGUGAUAUGGUUGACAAGCAGAGCACGACGUAUACCGACCGUGCUUGUAACAGUAUGAGCCCGCCACGAAGACAUAAUUCCUGGGAAGAUAACGUGUAUAAGUUGACAUUGUCCGAUUCCUGCGCGACAGCCAGUUGCUGUGACCAAACGUGCGUUUGUGACUACACGACAGAUUCCAGUAAAUAAAUGUAAAUUGUUGAA
This is a long non-coding RNA of Leptidea sinapis, 1059 nucleotides long. RefSeq lists it as uncharacterized. The transcript is spliced from 4 exons. NCBI's taxonomy places the organism in Eukaryota, Metazoa, Arthropoda, Insecta, Lepidoptera, Pieridae. The record is from RefSeq and is a predicted model, not a curated record.